This is a small nuclear RNA of Colobus angolensis palliatus, 64 nucleotides long. The record is from Ensembl. NCBI's taxonomy places the organism in Eukaryota, Metazoa, Chordata, Mammalia, Primates, Cercopithecidae.
GUGCUCACUUCAGCAGCACAUAUACUAACACUGGGAUGAUAUAGAGAAGAUUAGCAUGGCCUCU